This 253-nucleotide ribosomal RNA is filed under the name uncultured prokaryote. Its description in RNAcentral is "partial 16S ribosomal RNA". It matches the Rfam family "Bacterial small subunit ribosomal RNA", at positions 525 to 777 of the family's 1533-position model. The record is from RNAcentral.
ACGGAGGUGGCAAGCGUUGCUCGGAAUCACUGGGCGUAAAGGGCGCGUAGGCGGGGAGGUAAGUCGGGUGUGAAAUCCCUCGGCCCAACCGAGGAACUGCGCCCGAGACUGCUUCUCUUGAGUCCCGGAGAGGAAGAUGGAAUUCCCGGUGUAGCGGUGAAAUGUGUAGAGAUCGGGAGGAACAUCAGUGGCGAAGGCGGCCUUCUGGUCCAGUACUGACACUCAAGUGCGAAAGCGUGGGGAGCAAACAGGA